Molecule: ribosomal RNA, 329 nt
Filed under: uncultured eukaryote
Lineage: Eukaryota
Description: partial 18S ribosomal RNA
Rfam family: Eukaryotic small subunit ribosomal RNA
Source: RNAcentral
CCCUUAGAUGUUCUGGGCCGCACGCGCGCUACACUGAUGCAUUCAACGAGUCUAAAACCUGCUCUGAUAGGGGUGGGUAAUCUUUUGAAUGUGCAUCGUGAUUGGGAUAGAUGAUUGCAAUUUUUCAUCUUCAACGAGGAAUGCCUAGUAAACGCAAGUCAUCAGCUUGCAUUGAUUACGUCCCUGCCCUUUGUACACACCGCCCGUCGCUCCUACCGAUUGAAUGAUCCGAUGAAUAUCAUGGAUUGAGGGUGCAAGUAGGUUCGCCUAUCUUCAUCUUCGAGAAGUGAAGUAAAUCUUAUCAUUUAGAGGAAGGAGAAGUCGUAACA